This 3125-nucleotide long non-coding RNA is filed under the name Salmo salar (Atlantic salmon). Its description in RNAcentral is "lncRNA (ENSSSAG00000083571.1)". The record is from RNAcentral. Lineage: Eukaryota; Metazoa; Chordata; Actinopteri; Salmoniformes; Salmonidae.
UCCUGUUCUGCAUUCACAAGGACAAUUGUCUGUCUCGCGCUUUCAAUUGGUUCGAUGAAACACCAUUACAUCAGGAUUCGAUGCAGCUUGACUGAUGUAUGGUCAGGGAUGUGGCAUAUUUCUUCCACUGUCACGCAGCUAUUCUAGAGUUGGAGGGUGAGGGAGACAGUGGGAUAGCAACAAGAUGAGAGGCUGAUAAACUGUCCAGAAUAACUUAACAGCUGGAUACUUCAUUGAGAUAAUUACUUUCCCCUUUCAGCAGAAACAGCGUUGGGUUAGUUAAUUGGAAACAUUUCAGAUUUUCUUUUAAACCAGACCCUUUUUGGACAUAUAGGCAUUUGUGGUGCACAUAUCUUGAAGGAUUUCGUAUUAAUUUGUCAUUCAUACAGAACAUAAUUAACACCGGUAACCAGCUGACAGAGUGAUGGUUGUUCAUCUUCUGGAGCUAUGAUCUCUGAGGCUGACAGACAGGGAGCAGUUAGACCCAAGAGGUCACCAUCAGACGGGCACAGGGACAGGGACAGGGACCGCAGCCCCAGACAGAGAGCAGAAGCUGAUCAACACUAUGUUUUACAGGAGAGACAUCAGGAGGGCAUCGACGACCUCCCUGCAGGGAAGAGACAAAUGAUGGAGAAGUUUUUCACUCCUGUUCAUAGUCCUUCUCCAGGUGGGAUGAAACCAGGGAAGCACCGCCAUCACAACCCCGAUCAUCACCACCAGCACCGGGAUCAAGAACGGGAGACACACAGCUACAGCAGGUUACGGGACAAUGAUAGACGCAGCAGUGAAAGCCACGGUCACCACUAUACCCAGGGUAACCAUCCCCAAGAUGACCAGGAGCAACCCCUUAGACGCCACCAUCACCAUCCUCAGCACCUUCAUCAUGACGACGAGAUGUCGGACCACCACACCACCGUUACCCUCUCCAGAGCAUCUUCCUCCUCCCUCUCAUCUUCCCCCUCCGACUCUUCCACCGAAUGGUCCUCUGAGGCCGGCAUUGACGACAAGUUCUCCAUGAAGCACGCCAGCCGGCCGCAGCAUACCAUGUCCUGCUCCAACAUUGCGGGAGGACGACAGUUCCGUGAGGACGACAGCGAGCUGCAGGUGUAUGCCACCGUCAAACAGGGGCGAAUUCACGGAGGAGGCAGUCCUGGGACCCAUCCUCGGGCCCAGGGGAGGGGAGGACGCGAGCCCAGCUACUCCGAGCUAAACCGGGGCCACAGCCGCAGUGAAGAGGGGCUGCUGCAGAACACAGGAGCUGACAGAGGGAAAGUACAGACACCCCCACACCUGAAGCACGGAUCCCUCUACAAGACAGCCAGCCUGGGCCGGAGCCUGGCCUUCAGUGAAGAGGUCUUGGCUGGGCCGAAGAGGGCGGUGUCCUUUAUCCAGCUCCCCAGUAAAGGCAUCCUGAAAAACAAGGAGGCUCCACGGGACAUCCGCAAGGCCAAGUCCAUGGAGGUGCUGUCCCCCCGGGUGGCAGGCAAGGCGGCAGGGCCCAAGGGGAAGCAGGAUGUGGAUGCUCUGAAGGAUGCAGCCAGGCAGAGCAUGGUGAAGGGGAAGAUACAGUUCUCUGCAUUCCUGGAUGAGAUCACUAAACAGGUCAUCAGCCCCGCUCGUCUCAAUACUCUGGGGGUCCCUGUCGAGACGGUAGGACCAUGUCCAGCCAAAGCCCCAGCAUCCCCCAAAUCUCAACCGAAAAGUCAGCCCCAGCUUCCCUCGAAAAAGCAGGGAGAUGGGCAGGGGGAAGAGAGGGAGCCGGCUACUAAACCGCAGGCUCUGCCUAGGAAACUGAGGAAUGACUCUGACACACGGUCACGGAAAAUAUGUCUCCCUGCAAAGUUUGGGUAUGAAAGCAAGAACCACACUCCUCGUCUAGGCAGCCCCCCAACCCUCCACUCCAGCCAACCCUACCCGCCCCACCCACCAGCUGGCUAUGAAGACCAACCAGCUUCCCUGCCUGACUUCCAGGGUCCUGUCGGUAAUAGGCAUGGGCGGUAUGGCCCGCUUCUUACAGAUGGCACUGUCAGCUCCAGCCCUGAGCCCAGCCAUCACAAACACCGGAGCUACAAACACCUUGACCAGAGCCACAGGCCCAGCCAUAGCCCACCUUCAUCUCCACACACCCAGCAGCCCCAGCUACCCCACCACGCCCCGAUCCACACACAUUCUCCUCCUCCAGUACAAGGGCCAGAGUCGGAGUCUCCCUCCAGCAAGUCGGACUCGUCCCGGAACAGAGAACGAGACACGGCCAGCCCCAACUCCGAGCAGAGCGACCGCCACAGCCAGUCAACCUACCGCUGGUGUCCUACUUCAUAUAGGGCCCUGACGGGUGACAUAGGCGAACUCCAGACACUGCAGGAGCAGAAUGCUGAGCUGCACCAGAACCUGAUGCAAACAGUGGUCUGCAUCGAGAGCCUGGAGGCGGAGCUAGCCAGGGCCAGGGAGGAGCUUAGCCACAUGAAGGAGAAGUUCAAGAGGCUCCAGGACACACACACAGGUACCCAGCACACCAACAGCCUUCUGGGGGAGAAACUGCACUCAGCGGUUCCCUGUCUGAUCAAGGAGCUCCUGGAGAAGCACUUUGACUCUGGAGACGCUGUCAAGCAGUUCCUGAAGAACGCCUUGAAAACUGGCCAAUCUACGGGCGACAUCCAAUCACCGGGUCCAAAACUGGAGCAGAAGCCGUCUGAUUGGUCAGGCGUAGGACUGAGGGAGUUUGAGGCGGGUCCACAAAAGGUCACUGCUUUUAUGCCCUGGAAGCAGGAGGAGGAGGGGUUUGGGGUGAUAGGUCAGACAGGAAAUGAGGAUUCUGGCUCAAUGAGUCCCCCUUUCUCCGUUGCUGACAUCAGUAUGGCUAUCUAUAAGAAGCUAGCUGUCAGCCAAGCAGCAAGACAGCCCCGGCCUUCCAACUACCAACCUCACACUGACACCCCUCCCAACCCCUACCCGCUGGUGGAGUUGGGUGCCGGGGGUGCAGGAGGUGCAGGGGGGGAGGGUUACCUUGUGCCUGCUGUCAAGGGGUGUGUGGCAGAGGCAGGGAGAGCAGCUGAGAGUAAGCAGGGUGCUGUUGUUGAUGUGUCCUAUCUGACGGCCCAGAGGGUUUUAGAUGACUUCCUGCACCA